Molecule: long non-coding RNA, 877 nt
Organism: Corapipo altera (White-ruffed manakin)
Lineage: Eukaryota; Metazoa; Chordata; Aves; Passeriformes; Pipridae
Exons: 7
Source: RefSeq, a predicted model, not a curated record
AUUAUUCACACAAAUUCUGGGGCAGUCUUCUGGCUUGUAAAUAUUUCCUCGAAUGACUUGGUGAAAAAUGAGGAGCCAAGCAGGGUGCUGUUAGGAGCAAUGAGCCUUGUGAAGCACUCAGAUGCCAUCCUGAUAAUGGCCGAGAAAAGCUCACAAGAAAAUCAGCAAUUGUGUCUUCCAAGCAGAUAUAAGUCGUGCAUGUGCAAAAGGAUACCUGUGCCUAGAAAGAGACAAAAUCUGAAUUCCAAAAUGGAUGUUGUUCAAUGAAAUGUGCAGGAUCUUAAAUCUUGGCUCUGCUGAAGAGAUGUUUCUUGGUGCCUGCAACAGGAUUCUGGAGUAUCUUCUCAGUGGAAAGGAACAUGGAGUUCCCAAUUCCCUCACAAGGUGUCUGAUGCAAGUAAAGGAGUUUGCAGACCUAAAGAUCUUUUUGAGGUGUGAUGUUCCUGUGGUGCUGUUCUCCCUCUGGGCAGUGAUGCACAGCAGGGACUUAUCCAGAUGAUCUGAGGAGGAGCCACCUCAGCAGUGUGAGACUGUAAGAGCUUCUUCACCCUGUUUUGGUCCAAGUUCCUGAGCUGGUAUCUCUGCACAUGUUGCUCAUCAAACACCCCAACUGUCCUCAGUAACAUUGCUGCUGUCAGCCAGCCAGUAACCUCUGCUCUGGCCAUCAAACAUCACCACUAAAAGUUCAAGACAGAAUGGAAUAAACUGAGACACAGAGCCACAACUAAACCUGGAGUCAGGCAGUGCAAAAGAGCUGGAAUGAGCCCCAGAUACCAGUCCUUGGACCACCCAGUGGAAAAAGAGAGUCAAUUGGCUGCUAGCAAGCUCACAGCCUCUCCUGGUGCUACCAGAUCCUGCUGGUGCCAACAGGAGUGGA